GUGGGUAUAGCUCAGUGGUAGAGCACAUGCUUAGCAUGCAAGAAAUCCUAGGUUCAAUUCCUGGUACCUCCA
This is a transfer RNA of Camelus ferus (Wild Bactrian camel), 72 nucleotides long. It matches the Rfam family "tRNA". Rfam says of the family: Transfer RNA (tRNA) molecules are approximately 80 nucleotides in length. Their secondary structure includes four short double-helical elements and three loops (D, anti-codon, and T loops). NCBI's taxonomy places the organism in Eukaryota, Metazoa, Chordata, Mammalia, Artiodactyla, Camelidae. The record is from Rfam.